GGAAUAAAAUACUAUGACCAAGGGAAUUUAUGGAAGAGAUUAUUUUGGCUUGUGCCUCCAGAGGGAUGAGACCAUCAUGAAAGGGAGCUGGGAGAUCACAUGUUAAGCCCCAAACAUGAACAGAGAGAGUGAACUGGAAUUGAGGCUAGUCUACAUGCAAGUCUCAGAGCCUGCCCCUGAUCAAGAUCUAGAACUCUCAGUAACUUCUCUAGCCCCAUGUCUGCCUGGAUGCUGCCAUGCUUCCCACCAUGAUAAUAAUGAACUAAACCUCUGAAACUGCAAGCUUCCUCUGAUUUGGGACAAAAUGAAAACAGGCUGGUCUUCCCUUGUACCUGACACAGGUAAAUUGAGCUGGCCCAGACAGCAGAGCUCUGUAAGGCAUGUUGGUAUUGAUUGCUUCUUUGUCUCAGGGGCUAUAAGAAAUAUAACAGAUCUCAAAGGAAAAACAGUGGCUCUGUCAGCAAUCAUGGCACAGGAAGGUCACCUUUUCAUCCUGGUGCUAACAUCCAGCUGGAGUGGCAGUAUUACCAAAAUAAAAUCCUGAAAGGAGAAGCAGAAAUCAUGCUGACCCAGAAAGUGGAGAUCUGAUUGCUGAGAUUAAAGGCUUGAGCCAUCAUGAUUAUCUGUAAUAAAGUGAGGUGUUAGAGCCUGUGACCUAGUGAAGUGAACAUCGGGGCUGGAAGCAAGGUCAGAGUCAAAGUCUUUUUGAUAAAGAACCAGGAAUACAUACCAGCACAUCUGGGCUGACUGUCCUUCUUCCCAAGGGAUGGAUCAAUCUCAGAGAAGAUGGUCCUUCUUCUUGAUCUACAGGUAGUACCCUAAAUAUGGUACAGCCCAUUUUCCUUCUUGCACUGUACACUUAAUAAAAUUAAGUAAAUUAAAGAAUGAACUUUCCAGUUAUAUUAUUUGUUCAGGCUAGUUAAAUUCACCCUCAACACCUAUACCUGCCACACACACCUAACUACAUAUCCCUGUAUGUGUGAGGGGGGUUGCCAUGUCUGCUGUUCUGCAAACUAUUUGAGAAAGCUUGGUGGCCACAGAGGCUAUGAGAAGGGUGUCAGUUGGCCUGGGAAUGGAAGAGCAGUCAGUGCUCUUAAAUUCUGAGCUAUGCCUUUCCAGUGGACAGUUUUCAGCAUGAAAUCAGUCAUAAUUUUAGUGUGAAUGUUUUACAACUCAUUGUCCUUUAAUAUAUGUAAGACUAACUAGUAUUGAUGAUGGUUCACUUUUCUUAACCUCGAAAGUCAAACUAGGACAGACUUGCACACUACCUAGCUAUUGGGGAGAUAAUUGAUGUGCAGAAAAGGAACUUGUCUAGUCAGUAAAGUGUCGUUGUUUUUUUGGGGGGGGGGGGUUAAUAAUAGAAAUUGUAUUUUGUCUCUAUAUUUUAUUACAAGUUCUUGUUUUGAUUCUCAUAUUAUUUCAAGGGUACUCUCUAGAUCAGUAGAGCCUCCUUACAAGUCACCACAUGUAAAUUGGAUUUACAUGCCUAUCAUCUAGAGGAUAGCAAGCACAGAGAACAGCAAAGACAAAAAAGAAAGGACAAAGAACUCAGAGGGUGACACAUUAAUCACUUUGGGUCAUUUUUUUCCUGUUUUACCUUGACUCUGACUUCCAACAAAAAGAGAACAUCAAGAAGAAGAAAAUGAAAGAAACAAACGUCUUUGGAGCCCUGGUGUUGUCGUCAAGUCAAAUUUUUAAAAGACAGAGAGGAGUUGUGAAAAUCAGCUUGCUUAGUGGAAGUCCGCAGUGUUAUAUAAUCAGUACCAUUGUGCUUUAUCUUACAGAAAGUUAACAUGGCCGGUGGUCACACAGUUACUGAAGAAUUGAACUGUAACCUACAAUUCUUAUUCUCUCUCUCU
Apodemus sylvaticus (European woodmouse) is the source of this 1859-nucleotide long non-coding RNA. RefSeq lists it as uncharacterized. The record is from RefSeq and is a predicted model, not a curated record. Lineage: Eukaryota; Metazoa; Chordata; Mammalia; Rodentia; Muridae. The transcript is spliced from 7 exons.